GUAGUCAUAUGCUUGUCUCAAAGAUUAAGCCAUGCAUGUCUAAGUAUAAGCAAUUACAAAGCGAAACUGCGAAUGGCUCVUUAUAUAAGUUAUCGUUUAUUUGAUAGUACCUUACUACAUGGAUAACCGUGGUAAUUCUAGAGCUAAUACAUGCUGAAAAUCCCGACUUCGGAAGGGAUGUAUUUAUUGGAUACAAAACCAAUGCCCUUCGGGGCUCUCUUGGUGAUUCAUGAUAACUUCUCGAAUCGCACGGCCCCGCGCCGGCGAUGGUUCAUUCAAAUUUCUUCCCUAUCAACUUUCGAUGCUACGGUAUUGUCCUAGCAUGGUUGCAACGGGUGACGGAGGGUUAGGGCUCGACCCCGGAGAAGGAGCCUGAGAAACGGCUACUACAUCCAAGGAAGGCAGCAGGCGCGCAAAUUACCCAAUCCCGACUCGGGGAGGUAGUGACGAUAAAUACCGAUACAGGGCUCUUUUGGGUCCUGUAAUUGGAAUGAGUACAAUUCAAAUCCCUUAACGAGGAACAAUUGGAGGGCAAGUCUGGUGCCAGCAGCCGCGGUAAUUCCAGCUCCAAUAGCGUAUAUUAAAGUUGUUGUGGUUAAAAAGCUCGUAGUAGAAGCUCGGCCUCCGGUCGGCCGGUCCGCCUCACCGCGUGCACUGGUUCGGCCGGGGCUUCACCUUCUGCGGAACCGCAUCUCCUUCACUGGGGGUGUCGGGGAAACAGGACGUUUACU
Molecule: ribosomal RNA, 731 nt
Filed under: uncultured fungus
Lineage: Eukaryota; Fungi
Description: SSU rRNA
Rfam family: Eukaryotic small subunit ribosomal RNA
Source: RNAcentral